CGGGUGAGUAACACGUGGAUAACCUACCUAUAAGACUGGGAUAACUUCGGGAAACCGGAGUUAAUACCGGAUAAUAUAUUGAACCGCAUGGUUCAAUAGUGAAAGACGGUUUUGCUGUCACUUAUAGAUGGAUCCGCGCCGCAUUAGCUAGUUGGUAAGGUAACGGCUUACCAAGGCAACGAUGCGUAGCCGACCUGAGAGGGUGAUCGGCCACACUGGAACUGAGACACGGUCCAG
This 237-nucleotide ribosomal RNA is filed under the name uncultured Staphylococcus sp. RNAcentral describes it as "partial 16S ribosomal RNA". It matches the Rfam family "Bacterial small subunit ribosomal RNA", at positions 103 to 334 of the family's 1533-position model. The record is from RNAcentral. Lineage: Bacteria; Bacillati; Bacillota; Bacilli; Caryophanales; Staphylococcaceae.